This 468-nucleotide ribosomal RNA is filed under the name uncultured bacterium. RNAcentral describes it as "partial 16S ribosomal RNA". It matches the Rfam family "Bacterial small subunit ribosomal RNA", at positions 28 to 507 of the family's 1533-position model. The record is from RNAcentral.
GAUGAACGCUGGCGGCGUGCUUAACACAUGCAAGUCGAACGGAAAGGCCCAAGCUUGCUUGGGUACUCGAGUGGCGAACGGGUGAGUAACACGUGGGUGAUCUGCCCUGCACUUCGGGAUAAGCCUGGGAAACUGGGUCUAAUACCGGAUAGGACGAUGGUUUGGAUGCCAUUGUGGAAAGUUUUUUCGGUGUGGGAUGAGCUCGCGGCCUAUCAGCUUGUUGGUGGGGUAAUGGCCUACCAAGGCGUCGACGGGUAGCCGGCCUGAGAGGGUGUACGGCCACAUUGGGACUGAGAUGCGGCCCAGACUCCGACGGGAGGCAGCAGUGGGGAAUAUUGCACAAUGGGAGCAAGCCUGAUGCAGCGACGCCGCGUGGGGGAUGACGGCCUUCGGGUUGUAAACUCCUUUCGCUAGGGACGAAGCGUUUUUGUGACGGUACCUGGAGAAGAAGCACCGGCUAACUACGUG